UACGGAGGAUCCGAGCGUUAUCCGGAUUUAUUGGGUUUAAAGGGUGCGUAGGUGGCCUGUUAAGUCAGGGGUGAAAGACGGUAGCUUAACUAUCGCAGUGCCCUUGAUACUGAUGGGCUUGAAUGAACUAGAGGUAGGCGGAAUGUGACAAGUAGCGGUGAAAUGCAUAGAUAUGUCACAGAACACCAAUUGCGAAGGCAGCUUACUAUGGUUUUAUUGACACUGAGGCACGAAAGCGUGGGGAUCAAACAGG
RNAcentral lists this ribosomal RNA (253 nucleotides) under uncultured bacterium. RNAcentral describes it as "partial 16S ribosomal RNA". It matches the Rfam family "Bacterial small subunit ribosomal RNA", at positions 524 to 776 of the family's 1533-position model. The record is from RNAcentral.